RNAcentral lists this ribosomal RNA (451 nucleotides) under uncultured bacterium. Its description in RNAcentral is "partial 16S ribosomal RNA". It matches the Rfam family "Bacterial small subunit ribosomal RNA", at positions 28 to 523 of the family's 1533-position model. The record is from RNAcentral.
GACGAACGCUGGCGGCAUGCCUAAUACAUGCAAGUCGAACGAGUGCCUUCGGGUGCUAGUGGCGCACGGGUGCGUAACGCGUGGGAAUCUGCCCUGGGGUACGGAAUAACUCAGAGAAAUUUGAGCUAAUACCGUAUGAUAUCGCGAGAUCAAAGAUUUAUCGCCCUGGGAUGAGCCCGCGUUGGAUUAGCUAGUUGGUGGGGUAAAGGCCUACCAAGGCGACGAUCCAUAGCUGGUCUGAGAGGAUGAUCAGCCACACUGGGACUGAGACACGGCCCAGACUCCUACGGGAGGCAGCAGUAGGGAAUAUUGGACAAUGGGCGAAAGCCUGAUCCAGCAAUGCCGCGUGAGUGAUGAAGGCCUUAGGGUUGUAAAGCUCUUUUACCCGGGAUGAUAAUGACAGUACCGGGAGAAUAAGCCCCGGCUAACUCCGUGCCAGCCGCCGCCGUAA